Molecule: ribosomal RNA, 497 nt
Filed under: uncultured bacterium
Lineage: Bacteria
Description: partial 16S ribosomal RNA
Rfam family: Bacterial small subunit ribosomal RNA
Source: RNAcentral
GAUGAACGCUGGCGGCGUGCCUAAUACAUGCAAGUCGAGCGAACGGACGAGAAGCUUGCUUCUCUGAUGUUAGCGGCGGACGGGUGAGUAACACGUGGAUAACCUACCUAUAAGACUGUGAUAACUUCGGGAAACCGGAGCUAAUACCGGAUGAUAUUUUGAACCGCAUGGUUCAAAAGUGAAAGACGGUCUUGCUGUCACUUAUAGAUGGAUCCGCGCUGCAUUAGCUAGUUGGUAAGGUAACGGCUUACCAAGGCAACGAUGCAUAGCCGACCUGAGAGGGUGAUCGGCCACACUGGAACUGAGACACGGUCCAGACUCCUACGGGAGGCAGCAGUAGGGAAUCUUCCGCAAUGGGCGAAAGCCUGACGGAGCAACGCCGCGUGAGUGAUGAAGGUCUUCGGAUCGUAAAACUCUGUUAUUAGGGAAGAACAUAUGUGUAAGUAACUGUGCACAUCUUGACGGUACCUAAUCAGAAAGCCACGGCUAACUACGUG